This 468-nucleotide ribosomal RNA is filed under the name uncultured bacterium. RNAcentral's name for it is "partial 16S ribosomal RNA". It matches the Rfam family "Bacterial small subunit ribosomal RNA", at positions 28 to 507 of the family's 1533-position model. The record is from RNAcentral.
GAUGAACGCUGGCGGCGUGCCUAACACAUGCAAGUCGAACGGAAAGGCCCUGCUUUUGUGUUGUGCUCGAGGGGCGAACGGGUGUGUAACAUGUGAGUAACCUGCUCUUGACUUUGGGAUAACUUCAGGAAACUGGUGCUAAUACCGGAUAGGAACUCCUGCUGCAUGUCGGGGGUUGGAAAGUUUCGGCGGUUGGGGAUGGACUCGCGGGUUAUCAGCUUGUUGGUGGGGUAGUGGCUUACCAAGGCUUGGACGGGUAGCCGGCCUGAGAGGGUGACCGGCCAACGUGGGACUGAGCUACGGCCGAGACUCGUACGGGAGACAGCUGUGGGGAGUAUUGCCUGAUGGAGCGAAGCCUGAUGCAGCAACGCCGCGUGCGGGAUGGCGGCCUUCGGGUUGUAAACCACUUUCGCCUGUAACGGAGCGUGAGUGACGGUAAUGGAUGAAUAAGCACCGGCUAACUACGUG